RNAcentral lists this unclassified non-coding RNA (565 nucleotides) under Hevea brasiliensis (rubber tree). The record is from RNAcentral. Lineage: Eukaryota; Viridiplantae; Streptophyta; Magnoliopsida; Malpighiales; Euphorbiaceae.
UCUAGUCUAGUAUGGCCACUCAUAAUGCAUAAUGCAGAAUAAAUAGAAAAAAAAAAAAUCAAAUUCCUCAUCUUCAUCAAUCCAACUAUCUCUUAAUAUUAUCUCAUGAAAUCUAUUAUACUCUGCAUGUUGCUAAGAAUAUCAACUGCAUUGUUUAGGAAUUGGGUUUGCAAGCGGUCUUCUUGUCACUUUGUUCUGUGAGGGCAGUCUCUGAAUGAACUGAAUGAGAAAAAUUAAUCCUCCACAUAAAGGUCCUUUUGUUUUAUCUCUGGUCAAUUUAACUGUUAUGAACAGUUGGUUAAUGAAUCAUUUUAUAACACAAAAAUGUCAGGUAUCAUGAUUUAUGAAUCAUGUCUUGGAGAUCUCUUAAUAUUUACUAUAGUUUUCCGUGAUAUUAAAUUCUUCUUCAAAGUGAAAAUAUGAAAUUUAUGUACAUUUUUUGCCAUAAGUGAAGGUACAGGUGUGCCAUAUGGUAGACUUACGUUUUUUAUGAUUGUAGUUUUUUAUUAAUCUUCAUUUUAGCUAAUUGAAAAAAACCGUGUAAUUCUUUAAAUGUUUUGUCAGG